GACGAACGCUGGCGGCGUGCUUAACACAUGCAAGUCGAACGGUGAAGCGCUUUCCUUUUUGGUUGGUGUGGAUGAGUGGCGAACGGGUGAGUAACACGUGAGUAACCUGCCCCCUUCUUCUGGAUAACCGCAUGAAAGUGUGGCUAAUACGGGAUAUUCUGCGCCUGCUGCAUGGUGGGUGUGGGAAAGAUUGUGCCUUUGGGUGUUUUCGGUGGGGGAUGGGCUCGCGGCCUAUCAGCUUGUUGGUGGGGUGAUGGCCUACCAAGGCGGUGACGGGUAGCCGGCCUGAGAGGGUGGACGGUCACACUGGGACUGAGACACGGCCCAGACUCCUACGGGAGGCAGCAGUGGGGAAUAUUGCACAAUGGGCGCAAGCCUGAUGCAGCGACGCCGCGUGAGGGAUGGAGGCCUUCGGGUUGUGAACCUCUUUCGCCAGUGAAGCAGGCCUGCUCCGUGUGGGUGGGUUGACGGUAGCUGGAUAAGAAGCGCCGGCUAACUACGUG
RNAcentral lists this ribosomal RNA (503 nucleotides) under uncultured bacterium. RNAcentral's name for it is "partial 16S ribosomal RNA". It matches the Rfam family "Bacterial small subunit ribosomal RNA", at positions 28 to 507 of the family's 1533-position model. The record is from RNAcentral.